RNAcentral lists this ribosomal RNA (482 nucleotides) under uncultured bacterium. RNAcentral's name for it is "partial 16S ribosomal RNA". It matches the Rfam family "Bacterial small subunit ribosomal RNA", at positions 30 to 507 of the family's 1533-position model. The record is from RNAcentral.
AUUGAACGCUGGCGGCAUGCCUUACACAUGCAAGUCGAACGGUAACAGGCCUUCUGCUGCUGACGAGUGGCGCACGGGUGAGUAAUACAUCGGAACGUGCCCGAUCGUGGGGGAUAACGAGGCGAAAGCUUUGCUAAUACUGCAUACGAUCUACGGAUGAAAGCGGGGGAUCUUCGGACCUUGCUCGGUCGGAGCGGCCGAUGGCAGCUUAGGUAGUUGGUGGGAUAAAAGCUUACCAAGCCGACGAUCUGUAGCUGGUCUGAGAGGAUGAUCAGCCACACUGGGACUGAGACACGGCCCAGACUCCUACGGGAGGCAGCAGUGGGGAAGGUUGGACAAUGGGCGAAAGCCUGAUCCAGCCAUGCCGCGUGCAGGAUGAAGGCCUUUGGGUUGUAAACUGCUUUUGUACGGAACGAAAAGCCUCUUUCUAAUAAAGAGGGGUCAUGACGGUACCGAAAGAAUAAGCACCGGCUAACUACGUG